Non-coding RNA from Microcebus murinus (gray mouse lemur), 2238 nucleotides. Lineage: Eukaryota; Metazoa; Chordata; Mammalia; Primates; Cheirogaleidae. The record is from RefSeq and is a predicted model, not a curated record.
CUAUAGUUAUUUGGUCUGGCUGUGAGCUUGGGAGGAUGUGAAAGUCUUGCUGAACUUCCGGCUAUCAUGACCCAUGUAUCAGUGCCUAAGAAGGACAGAGAUGUCUUUGGAAUUAGUGACACAAUGAUUCGACUCUCUGUGGGCUUAGAGGAUGAAAAAGAUCUCCUGGAAGAUCUAGAUCAAGCAUUGAAGGCAGCACACCCUCUGAGUGGAAGUUGCAACUAGUAUUUCAGAACUGCCUUUACAAGCUGCUUCCUGAGGAGAUCAAAUCUUCUGAAUAAUUUAAUGGACAAUUAAUGAGCUUUCACAAAAUUUUCAAGUGAAAAAUGUUAAUUUUCACUUGAAAGGUAAAUGUCAGUACCUUUCAGAACUGUAACUUUCUAUGGGUCAUCCUUGUUAAAAAAUAGUUUUCUGUAUAUCGUAUUAUAAUUGACAGUUCAAUUCUAUUACUAUCUUUUUUUGUAAUAGUAGUAUAUUUAAUGUGUAUAUAAAUGUUACAAAUUAACUUUUCUACAUCAAACAAAGUAACAUUUUACAUCAAGAGAAAAAGAGGACAGGAAGGGGUUUGAUGAACAAGUCCAAGGAAAGUGAUGUGGAUAAGAACAAUGUUUUCAGCAGAUCCAAUCAGUGUUCAUUCUAUUAGUGUCUUCCAAGGGGGAUUUCCUCAUUUGGGGCAGAGCCUUUGGUGGCAAGUGCUGGUUGCUUAUCAUUGUAAUCAGCUGCAUGAACAAACACAAAAUGACAUACCCUAUAUAUAUUUUGCUUGUACUUUUCUUAUGCUUUGGAGUCCCAAGCCAGUAGAACUCAAUGACCAGAACCUUAUAAUCUUUCUGUUGAACAAAGCAUUUUACCUUUUGAGUUGUCUCCCAGAAACAGCAGACUGAUUGCAAGAUAACAACACCAAGACUCGUCAUGCGUCACCAAUCUGUGAAUUCUGAAUUAGACCUCCUGCACACAUUGCUUUCAACCCCACCUGCCCCAAUAGAUGUAGCCACCUUACUGAAGCCCUUAUUAAAAUCUCUGCCCUUGGUUGGUCAGAGAAACAGAUUUAAGGCAGUUCUCUCUUCUCUUAGGUGAUGUCACCUGUAACAAUUUACCUUUCUUCCUUGGCCAUCCUCUUUGUCUCAGUAAUUGGCUUUCUGUGAGGUGAGCAAUCGGACCUGGGCCAGAACCUCUUUGUUGAUUCUGUUAAUAUCUUUGUGUUGAAUUUGCUAUACAUUGCCUCUGAAGGUGGUGAGACCUAUGUUACUUUGUGGGAUGGAUCUGUUAGGUCCAGAGCUGAGAGGGAGACACACGAAACCUCAUGCAUAGCAAAAUGCUGUUUAUUUUGGGCAUCUGGCUGCAGAUGGGGGGAGGCCUCAAGACACCCCAAGGAAGGGGAAAGCCUUGGGUUUUAUAGGAGGUUUUUCCAGGGGGAGUGAGUAAGUAGGCCAGAACAGCUGCUGUAAUAAAUUCUUUUCAAACAACCAAUUUCUGGGACCCCUGCAUUAGUCUCAUCCUGCAGAGAUGGGGGGUAGCUUUGUCUUUAUCAGGGGAGAUAUAAAUGCUGGUAUGGCUGCAACUGUCUGUGGUUGGAGUUAGAUUUACAACCUCCAGACUCCCUAGACUCCUGUGGCUAUUGUUUCACAGGCUUUAUGAUCAGUAUCUAAGUUUUCCAUUAACUGCAUUCCAUCCUAUGCAUACUUUCUGGGUUUCCACCCUAAAUAAACCUAAAAGAAUCACGUUCUUUUUUUCAUAGUCUAAGACUUAUUUUCAUCAUGUUUAUAAUAUAAUGGUAAUUCAUUUUGGAUGUUUUGUGAAUAAUUUAAAUUAUUAAAUGAACAUUCUUUAACAAGUGUGAUUUUUGCAUAUUGUUGAAAAGAUCUUUGAAAGCAAUGAAAGCAGUGGUUUACACUUAAUUAUUAUAAGCUAAAAGUUUCAAGUGUGAAAUUAUACUGAUUUAAGUUUGUACUUAAUAUAUUUUAAAAAAUAAAUCUAAUUAUCAAAUGCACCCCAUUGUGACAUUCCUAUACAUUAUGUGACAUUAACCUAUAUUCCUGCAUCCUUUUAAUUCCCAACAUUGCUCUUAGAGAUUUCAGCCUCUUAUGUUAAGUUUUAUAAAUUCAAUUAAAUAACUAUUAUUCCAAAAUCUUAGUGUUUGCAGAUUGGUUAUAAAUUCUAUACAUGGCACAUUAACGGUCACCUUUAUACAGAGAAAUAUUACUCUUUGUAUUUUUAUCUGAAAUAGUAAAUUUGUUG